Molecule: ribosomal RNA, 468 nt
Filed under: uncultured bacterium
Lineage: Bacteria
Description: partial 16S ribosomal RNA
Rfam family: Bacterial small subunit ribosomal RNA
Source: RNAcentral
GACGAACGCUGGCGGCGUGCUUAACACAUGCAAGUCGAACGGAAAGGCCCUGCUUUUGUGGGGUGCUCGAGUGGCGAACGGGUGAUUAACACGUGAGUAACCUGCCCUUGACUUUGGGAUAACUUCAGGAAACUGGGGCUAAUACCGGAUAGGAGCUCCUGCUGCAUGGUGGGUGUUGGAAAGUUUCGGCGGUUGGGGAUGGACUCGCGGCUUAUCAGCUUGUUGGUGGGGUAGUGGCUUACCAAGGCUUUGACGGGUAGCCGGCCUGAGAGGGUGACCGGACACAUAGGGACAGAGAUACGGCGCAGACUCCUACGGGAGGCAGAAGUGGGGAAUAUUGCACAAUGGGCGGAAGCCUGAUGCAGCAACGCAGCGUGCGGGAUGACGGCCUUCGGGUUGUAAACCGCUUUCGCCUGUGACGAAGAGUGAGUGACGGUAAUGGGUAAAGAAGCACCGGCUAACUACGUG